AUGGCUUCUCUCACAAGUAGUCCAUGGCUUCAUCUCCUACUGCUUCUCGUGGCCAUGGGCGGCACGUUCACUGCCGCCGCCGGCAGCGGCAACCCCACCGCCGGGUUCCAGAAGGUGCAUCUCGCGGACGGCGAUUUCCAGGUGCAGAGCCCGUACAACGGGCCGGAGAGCCAGCGGUUCCAGUACCGCAACGGUGUGCGGACGUUCUGGGUGCACCGAAACGACAAGCCCUUCAACACUGCCACACACACCAACCCACGCUCCGAAGUUAGGCUCCGGGGCCACGACUACUCGUCGGGCGUUUGGCAGUUCGAGGGCUAUGGCUACGUGCCGUCGGGGACCUCCGGCGUGUCGGUGAUACAGAUCCACAACGAGGAGGGCGCCGCGCACUCGACGGUGUUGAUGUGCAUGUCUAUGACGGCGUCCUGCGGUUCUAUAGCGGGGCGGCCGUCGAGUCUGACAUCUACGACCGGUGGUUCCGCCUCAACGUGA
Molecule: ribosomal RNA, 492 nt
Filed under: Triticum aestivum (bread wheat)
Lineage: Eukaryota; Viridiplantae; Streptophyta; Magnoliopsida; Poales; Poaceae
Description: partial small subunit ribosomal RNA
Source: RNAcentral